This 432-nucleotide long non-coding RNA is filed under the name Daphnia pulex (common water flea). Its description in RNAcentral is "uncharacterized LOC124192210". Lineage: Eukaryota; Metazoa; Arthropoda; Branchiopoda; Diplostraca; Daphniidae. The record is from RNAcentral.
UUUACUGGGUGUCCCUAAACUAUGGACUUGGACAGUCCAUUUUGGACUACUAAACUAUGGACUUCGAUCGAAAACUAUGGACUUCACCAGAUGGCGCUGCCUGUCAAAGUCCAUAUUUUAGAACCUGAACGCUCCACCAAUGGCCAUACUAAACUAUGGACUUUUCCUGAAAAAAGCCACGAGCUUUCUAGAGCUGGCGGGACACUUACUUUUUUAAAGCAAAAAUUUGUUUGGUUCAUAGUUUUUUAUUAUAAUAAUAGUAUCAAAUGCCAGAACACUGCUUGGUAGAAUUCCGUAGGCGGUAGGAUAUAUUUUUGUAAAAUAUUCUAUUUUUUUGUUAAUUUCUUCUAAAGUAUUAUUUUUUAUUAAUUCGCUGUCUUGCUUUAUCCGAUCUAUAAAACGGUUUAAAUACAAGAUGUUUUUCCGUGUUAA